GUAAGCUCACACCUACCGACUUAACUUCGCAGACCCCGCUGGAGCCGUGAACCGUCGCCCUUGGGCGCUCCCCGGUGCACGCUGGGAUGCGUCUGGCGCCCCUCGGUGCGCUGCAGAGCAUGCCGGGAAAGCCACCUCUGUCCAGCCCUUGGCUCGUUCGUACCUGUUGAACGUUCCUCCUGAGUCCCCUUGAGUGCUUCGCCCUUGGGCUCCGAAUGAGACGGUUUGGGCAACUAUGGAAGUGUACUGGCGCUUUCGGUCCCUCCUCCCCAUGCGCUGGAUCGCUGUAGUCUUGGGGAAACAACCUUUCUCUGGGGAGUGAGCCUUUCCUUGGUGCCUGCUGAGUAACUUGGUGACUAUAGCGGAAAAUUAGCAAAGGUGUUUACCACAGGUUUGAUCCCCGGUACAGAAGAAGGAAGAGGAGCAGGAGGAGGAGGAGGAAGAAAAAGAAGAGAAGGAGAGCCAGGGAAGAGGAAGGGGUAGGAAGAAAGAAGAGCAAGAGGAAACAAAAACCCAAACAGCCACCUGCAAGAGCAGAGCUGCCAGACCAGUGCCAGCCCCUACUUGCCAGCCAUGUGAGUCAAGCUAUUCCUCCGAAGCCAAAGAAAGCAGAGACAAUGGGUUCCACUACACCAUGACCAAAGUGCACUAACAUGAGCAAGCACUGUAGUAGAGCCAGAAUAUAAUAGGAAGGACUUAUGGCCAGGCAUGGUGGUGCAUGCCUAUAAUCCCAGCCCUCAGGAGGCUGAGGCAGGAAGAUCCCCACAAAUUCAAGGCCAG
RNAcentral lists this long non-coding RNA (780 nucleotides) under Heterocephalus glaber (naked mole-rat). RNAcentral's name for it is "lncRNA (ENSHGLG00000045912.1)". The record is from RNAcentral. Lineage: Eukaryota; Metazoa; Chordata; Mammalia; Rodentia; Bathyergidae.